CUACGGGGCGCUGCAGUGGGGAAUAUUGGACAAUGGGCGCAAGCCUGAUCCAGCAAUGCCGCGUGAGUGAAGACGGCCUUAGGGUUGUAAAACUCUUUCGCUAGGGAAGAUAAUGACUGUACCUAGUAAAGAAGUCCCGGCUAACUCCGUGCCAGCAGCCGCGGUAAUACGGAGGGGACUAGCGUUGUUCGGAAUUACUGGGCGUAAAGAGUUCGUAGGCAGACUGACAAGUUAGAGGUGAAAUCCCAGGGCUCAACCCUGGAACUGCCUUUAAAACUGUCAGUCUAGAGACCGGAAGAGGUUAGGGGAAUACCUAGUGUAGAGGUGAAAUUCGUAGAUAUUAGGUGGAACACCAGUGGCGAAGGCGCCUAACUGGUCCGGUACUGACGCUGAGGAACGAAAGCGUGGGGAGCAAACAGGAUUAGAUACCCUCGUAGUC
This 439-nucleotide ribosomal RNA is filed under the name uncultured bacterium. RNAcentral describes it as "partial 16S ribosomal RNA". It matches the Rfam family "Bacterial small subunit ribosomal RNA", at positions 339 to 795 of the family's 1533-position model. The record is from RNAcentral.